AGCGAUUCUGCUGCCACAACCUCCUGAGUAGCUGGGAUUACAGACGUGCACCACCAUGCCCAGCUAAUUUUUAUAUUUUUGGUAGUGACAGGGUUUCACCAUGUUGGUCAGGAUGGUCUCGAUCUCCUGACCUCAUAAUCCACCCGCCUCAGCCUCCCAAAGUGCUGGGAUUACAGGCGUGAGCCACCGUGCCCAGCCAAGAAUCUGCAUUUUUAACAAGCCCUCAAGCGGUUGUGACAGAGGAGGUCUAGGCUUUAAGAAACACCAGUGUAUGGAAUGGGAGUUUGGGGAUGGGGCAAGAGAGACAGGUCUCAGUGAUCCUGCCAGAAGGGAGAGGACAGAGAGGGGUGAAGACAAGAGACAGGAAGUGAGGGGAGUUCUUUUUUUUUUUUUUUUUUUCCCAAGGCAGAAGAAUUUUUCUUAGUACAGAACAAAUGAAAAGUCUCCCAUGUCUACUUCUUUCUACACAGACACAGCAACCAUCCGAUUUCUCAAUCUUUUCCCCACCUUUCCGCCCUUUCUAUUCCACAAAACCGCCAUUGUCAUCAUGGCCCGUUCUCAGUGAGCUGUUGGGUACUCCUCCCAGAGAGCUGUUGGGUACUCCUCCCAGACCGGGUGGUGGCCGGGCAGAGGGGCUCCUCACUUCCCAGUAGGGGCGGCCGGGCAGAGGCGCCGCCCCUCACCUCCCGGACGGGGUGGCUGGCCGGGCAGGGGGCUGACCCCCCCCACCUCCCUCCCGGACGGGGCGGCUGGCCGGACGUGGGGCUGACCCCCCCCACCUCCCGGACGGGGUGGCUGCCGGGCGGAGACGCUCCUCACUUCCCAGACGGGGUGGCUGCCGGACGGAGGGGCUCCUCACUUCUCAGACGGGGCGGCUGCCGGGCAGAGGGUCUCCUCACUUCUCAGACGGGGCGGCCGGGCAGAGACGCUCCUCACCUCCCAGGCGGGGUCGCGGCCGGGCAGAGGCGCUCCUCACAUCCCAGACGGGGCGGCGGGGCAGAGGCGCUUCCCACAUCUCAGACGAUGGGCGGCCGGGCAGAGACGCUCCUCAUUUCCUAGAUGGGAUGGCGGCCCGGCAGAGACAGUCCUCUUUCCAGACUGGGCAGCCAGGCAGAGGGGCUCCUCACAUCCCAGACGAUGGGCAGCCAGGCAGAGACGCUCCUCACUUCCCAGACGGGGUGGCGGCCGGGCAGAGGCUGCAAUCUCGGCUCUUUGGGAGGCCAAGGCAGGCGGCUGGGAGGUGGUUGUAGCGAGCCGAGAUCAUGCCACCGCAUUCCAGCCUGGGCACCAUUGAGCACUGAGUGAACGAGACUCCGUCUGCAAUCCCGGCACCUCGGGAGGCCGAGGCUGGCGGAUCACUCGCGGUUAGGAGCUGGAGACCAGCCGGGCCAACACAGCGAAACCCCGUCUCCACCAAAAAAAUACGAAAACCAGUCAGGCGUGGCGGCGCGCACCUGCAAUCACAGGCACUCGGCAGGCUGAGGCAGGAGAAUCAGGUAGGGAGGUUGCAGUGAGCCGAGAUGGCAGCAGUACAGUCCAGCUUCGACUCGGCAUCAGAGGGAGACCGUGGAAAGAGAAGGAGAGGGAGACCGUGGGGAGAGGCAGAGGCAGGGGCAGGGGCAGGGGCAGGGGCAGGGGCAGGGGUAGAGGCAGAGGCAGAGGCAGAGGCGAGUUCUUAAAGGGAAGUGAAAUGUGUCAAAAACAAAAUGUGUGUUCUUCAAGUUUGCCUGAGGCUUUGAUGGCGUAGAUAUUAUGUGGGAGGUAAUUUCUGUUUGUGCUGUCUUUGGCAUGGUCUGGGCUGUUUUAAAGUGUGCAAAGGUCAGCCUCCACUUCAGCUCAGCGUCCCUAUGACAGGCUCUAGCUUAGUACAAUAUUGCCAGUCCGCUCUGGAGUCCAGCGAUAGAAGAGGAGGAUAAAGAAGAAAGUUUUACAUUUGCUAACCACCUAUUCCGCCCACAUCGAUGGUACCCUGCUAAUUUUCUCUUUCUGCCGUGAAUGCUUAUGAUGUCAAAGUAGUCUUUUGCAUGGAGAGGAAUUUAAGCCCUGGGAGAAAAUAGGAUUUCCCCAAGAGAGAGCAAAAAGAAGAGGCCCGGACAUUCAGACAUUCAAUCAGGCAGGAUAUACUGGAUAUCUCCUAUGUGUAAGGCACUAUGUUGACCUUGAGGAUACAGGGGGAACAAGAUAGGCAUCCUUGUUGCCUUUAUAGAGCUUCUGGUUUGGUAGGGGAGACAGACAUGUAUCGAAUCUGUUGUACAACUAAUUAUUUAAGUAAAAGUAUGAUAAUUAUUAUAAAGACCUCAAAGGAAAUGUAUCAGGUGCUGUAAGAUAAUUUAACAGGUGGUUUUGCUUAGUUUGAGGGGAAAAACUUUAGGGGCAUGAGGAAUUAGAAAGAGCUAGUGAAAAGAAAGUGUAGCAGCCAAAGAGUUAGGUGAAGAAACAAAUUUGUGGUACAUUAAGAAACCAAGAAGGAGGAAUUUCCAGAGCAUAUUUGUGGUCAUGAAAGUCAAAUGCUGCCAAGAUGGAAAGGAAGAUGGGAGUUGAGACUGGUUUGCUACAUAUGGUGAUGAAAACUGUUCUAGAAAAGUUUCAAGUUAAUAGGACCAAACACAGCUUACAGGUGAUUAAAAAAUGAGAAGGUGGUGAAAUCCUAAGUACUAUAAUGAGCUCUUACACUCACUUUUUGGCCACUUAACAUGAAGUACUUCGUAAUAUUCUGGCUAUGCUUGCUUUGUCUCCCCAGCUAGAUUGACAGCUUCCUGAAGGUUAUGAUGAUAAACCUAGCCCCUAGCACUGUAUCAACAUGUAGCAUUAGAGUCACCACCUGGAGAUCUAAGACCUUGGCUCUAUCUGGUGCUGGUUCUGCCACACAGAAACCAUGUACCUUGGGCAUGAUCAUCUGUUUCCUCAUCUCUAAAAUGGUGAUAUUCCUAACUUUCCUAUCACUUGGGCUUUUGCAAGGAUCAAAUAGGGCAGUAUAUAGAAAUGGACUUUGUGAAUUGAAAAUUAGUAUUCUAUAGAAGAUAUUGAUAAUAUUCAGUGAAUGACAACAGCUGCUUUACAUCGGAAAUUCUGUGAUAAUCAGUUUUUUGUUUGUUUUAGAUUUGUUCCUUAUAUUGGAAUUGUGACGAUCCUCAUGAAUGACUAUCCUAAAUUUAAGUAUGCAGUGCUCUUUUUGCUGGGUUUAUUCGUGCUGGUUCAUCGUGAGUAAGAAGCCUGCCUUGCUGUUCCUGGGAAGAUGCCAUAGUUUUCAUUACUGGAUGUUUGGAGUAGAUACUGGUCUGUGAUUGGUGGAAUGGAGAACACACGUGUUGGUGCUUCUGGGUAGCACUGGUUUGCAUUAGUUUAUGUUUCCACGCCAGAGUUUGUGUGGGCGGGCGCAUGUGCACCACAGAGUGCACUCGAGGGGACUUUCAGUCACAGGAUUUCAUAAUUGUCAUUGUCACACUUUCAAAUUUUUGUACAUCAGUGAAUUUUUUUAUAUUAAAAGGUUGAGCCAAAGCCCCCAGUGUUUGUAUUUUGAAGCCAAGCUUCACUUCUAAAGUGCCUACAGAGACUUGUAAAUGAAAAUGCAGCUCUGCACGAGUUUGAAACCGUCAUACCUCCUUCUAUUAGGAAUGGCAUAUACUGAGGUGGUCGUAAGUCUUAACUUUUAAAAUUUUAAAUAAAAGACUUUGCACAUUG
RNAcentral lists this small RNA (3681 nucleotides) under Pan troglodytes (chimpanzee). RNAcentral's name for it is "retained intron". Lineage: Eukaryota; Metazoa; Chordata; Mammalia; Primates; Hominidae. The record is from RNAcentral.